UACGGGUAGCUGGUCUGAGAGGAUGGUCAGCCACACUGGGACUGAGACACUGCCCAGACUCCUACGGGAGGCUGCAGUCGAGAAUCAUUCACAAUGCGCGAAAGCGUGAUGAUGCGACGCUGCGUGGAGGAUGACGGCCUUCGGGUUGUAAACUCCUGUCAUGAGGGAAAAAUAGGCUCGGCGCUAAUAUCGUCGGGAAUUGAUGGUACCUCAAGAGGAAGCCACGGCUAACUCUGUGCCAGCAGCCGCGGUAAUACAGAGGUGGCAAGCGUUGUUCGGAUUUACUGGGCGUAAAGGGUGCGUAGGCGGUUUUGUAUGUCGGAUGUGAAAAGCCCACUGCUCAACGGUGGAAUUGCAUUCGAAACUGCAGGACUAGAGUACAGGAAGGGAGAGCGGAAUUCCUGGUGUAGCGGUGAAAUGCGUUGAUAUCAGGAGGAACACCGGUGGCGAAGGCGGCUCUCUGGAAUGUUACUGACGCUGAGGCACGAAAGCUGGGGGAGCGAACAGGAUUAGAUACCCUGGUAGUCCCAGCUGUAAACGGUGCGCACUUGGUGUGGGGAUUUUGACCGUCCCCGUGCCGUAGCUAACGCGUUAAGUGCGCCGCCUGGGGAGUACGGCCGCAAGGCUAAAACUCAAAGAAAUUGACGGGGGCCCGCACAAGCGGAGGAGCAUGUGGCUUAAUUCGAUGCAACGCGAAGAACCUUACCAGGGCUUGACAUGCAGCUGCACGUCCGUCGAAAGGCGGAAAGCUUUCGAAGGCGCUGCACAGGUGGUGCAUGGCUGUCGUCAGUUCGUGCCGUGAGGUGUUUGGUUAAGUCCAGCAACGAACGCAACCCCUGUGUUUAGUUGCCACCGCGGGUGAUGAGCCUGCGAGCACUCUAGACAGACUGCCCGUACAAGCGGGAGGAAGGUGGGGAUGACGUCAAGUCAGUAUGUCCCUUAUGUCCUGGGCUGCACACGUGCUACAAUGGUCGGUACAAUGGGAAGCGAAGCCGCGAGGCGAAGCAAAUCCCCAAAGCCGGCCCCAGUUCGGAUUGGAGUCUGCAAUUCGACUCCAUGAAGUUGGAUUCGCUAGUAACGGCGUAUCAGCUACGACGCCGUGAAUACGUUCACCGGGCAUUGUACACACCGCCCGUCACAUCAUGAAAGCCGUCUGCACCCGAAGUCCCCGA
RNAcentral lists this ribosomal RNA (1172 nucleotides) under uncultured organism. RNAcentral's name for it is "bacterial SSU rRNA". It matches the Rfam family "Bacterial small subunit ribosomal RNA", at positions 278 to 1433 of the family's 1533-position model. The record is from RNAcentral.